Molecule: ribosomal RNA, 439 nt
Filed under: uncultured bacterium
Lineage: Bacteria
Description: partial 16S ribosomal RNA
Rfam family: Bacterial small subunit ribosomal RNA
Source: RNAcentral
CUACGGGCCGCACCAGUGGGGAAUAUUGCACAAUGGAGGAAACUCUGAUGCAGCAACGCCGCGUGGAGGAUGACACUUUUCGGAGCGUAAACUCCUUUUAUAUAGGAAGAAGAUGACGGUACUAUAUGAAUAAGCGCCGGCUAACUCCGUGCCAGCAGCCGCGGUAAUACGGAGGGCGCAAGCGUUACUCGGAAUCACUGGGCGUAAAGAGCGUGUAGGCGGAUUAAAAAGUCAGAAGUGAAAUACUAUAGCUUAACUAUAGAACUGCUUCUGAAACUCUUAAUCUAGAAUAUGGGAGAGGUAGAUGGAAUUUCUGGUGUAGGGGUAAAAUCCGUAGAGAUCAGAAGGAAUACCGAUUGCGAAGGCGAUCUACUAGAACAUUAUUGACGCUGAGACGCGAAAGCGUGGGGAGCAAGCAGGAUUAGAUACCCCUGUAGUC